UCUAGGGUUAAAAUUAAGGAAGAGUAGAGCAAAGAGCUUGAAAAUCGAGGUGGAGUGGCGGAUUGGCUCCAGUCUAGAGGUACGUGUCAAUAAUGGACAAGGCACAAGAAUCUUACCUAGCUUAGAAAUCACUUCACACAUCGCCAUAGAUAAAAGGUGAGCAGCCUCCAAACCCAAAGAGUCGGAAAAAAGUAGGUCAAGACGUGGGAAAUGGCUAGGAAAAAGGUGCGUACCAGACAAAAUGCGGUGGAAACCCGUAAAGAAGUUCGAAUCUAGAAGUAAGACCCUUACAGAUCAAAGGUCUGAAUAACUGUAAAGCCAGUUGC
RNAcentral lists this ribosomal RNA (326 nucleotides) under Pectinopygus farallonii. RNAcentral's name for it is "partial 12S ribosomal RNA". The record is from RNAcentral. Lineage: Eukaryota; Metazoa; Arthropoda; Insecta; Psocodea; Philopteridae.